Ailuropoda melanoleuca (giant panda) is the source of this 146-nucleotide small nuclear RNA. Its record names the gene U12. It matches the Rfam family "U12 minor spliceosomal RNA". Rfam says of the family: Although the U12 sequence is very divergent from that of U2, the two are functionally analogous. The record is from Ensembl. Lineage: Eukaryota; Metazoa; Chordata; Mammalia; Carnivora; Ursidae.
AUGCCUUAAAGUUGUAAGGAAAGUAACAAUUCGGUGUGACACCCGAAACCCCACUGUUAACGUGAGAUGAAUUUUUAAGUGGGUAAAGGUUGCCCCUAAGGUGACUGGCCUCCUUUGCAGGAUGCCUGGGAGUCACCAACUGCCUG